RNAcentral lists this microRNA precursor (76 nucleotides) under Myotis davidii. Its description in RNAcentral is "mir-9229 microRNA precursor family". It matches the Rfam family "mir-9229 microRNA precursor family". The record is from Rfam by way of RNAcentral. Lineage: Eukaryota; Metazoa; Chordata; Mammalia; Chiroptera; Vespertilionidae.
GAGACACCCUUCUGGGGCAAGACUUGCUUCAGCGGGGCUUUGGUGCUCACUGAGUCUGCCCCCUGAGUGUGUCCUU